Molecule: ribosomal RNA, 301 nt
Filed under: uncultured bacterium
Lineage: Bacteria
Description: partial 16S ribosomal RNA
Rfam family: Bacterial small subunit ribosomal RNA
Source: RNAcentral
CAGUAGCCGCGGGAAUACGGAGGGAGCUAGCGUUGUUCGGAAUUACUGGGCGUAAAGCGCACGUAGGCGGCUUUGUAAGUCAGAGGUGAAAGCCUGGAGCUCAACUCCAGAACUGCCUUUGAGACUGCAUCGCUCGAAUCCGGGAGAGGUGAGUGGAAUUCCGAGUGUAGAGGUGAAAUUCGUAGAUAUUCGGAAGAACACCAGUGGCGAAGGCGGCUCACUGGACCGGUAUUGACGCUGAGGUGCGAAAGCGUGGGGAGCAAACAGGAUUAGAUACCCCGGUAGUCCCUGUCUCUUAUAC